UAACGCAGACGAAAGUUGCGCUAAUACCGCAUACGAUCUAUGGAUGAAAGCGGGGGAUCGCAAGACCUCGCGCGAUUGGAGCGGCCGAUAUCAGAUUAGGUAGUUGGUGAGGUAAAGGCUCACCAAGCCGACGAUCUGUAGCUGGUCUGAGAGGACGACCAGCCACACUGGGACUGAGACACGGCCCAGACUCCUACGGGAGGCAGCAGUGGGGAAUUUUGGACAAUGGGCGCAAGCCUGAUCCAGCCAUGCCGCGUGAGUGAUGAAGGCCCUAGGGUUGUAAAGCUCUUUCACCGGUGAAGAUAAUGACGGUAACCGGAGAAGAAGCCCCGGCUAACUUCGUG
RNAcentral lists this ribosomal RNA (344 nucleotides) under uncultured bacterium. RNAcentral's name for it is "bacterial SSU rRNA". It matches the Rfam family "Bacterial small subunit ribosomal RNA", at positions 144 to 507 of the family's 1533-position model. The record is from RNAcentral.